CUGGCCUCAAGGGCUGAUAUGUCUAAAUGAGCAAUACAAUAAAGACACACAAUUCAUGUAUGGUUAUAUAUUUAUCCAUAAAAUUAAUCUUCCUGGUUUUCAUUUCAGCAAAACCACUAAUUAUGUUGUUAUAAUCAAUAUUUUCACAUCAUUUGAGUCCUAUUAAAAGUAAUGCACACUAGAUGACCUUUCUCGAAUCUUUGGGUUUUUUUAAAUUUUCAAUGUGGAGAAAUUUUGCUCUGCAGAGGCAGCAGCAAUUGAAAUCGUCAAUAAAAUUCUUAAAGCAAUACUUUGAUUUGGAAAUGGAUCAUGAGUUUUAUAUACCAACAUUGUAAUUGGGUUGCAUCUGAUAUAUUCAUGAUCACAGACACUGUUACAAAUGUUUUAAUUUCAUCCUAUAAAUCACCAUCAUUUAUUUCAUGAUUUUCAAAAUCUCUUAAAACAAUAUUUAAAAAUAUACAGAUCCAUAUAGUGUUGUAAAGAGUUGAUAUCAUGCUUCACACAUAUUAUUGGUGCACCUACAUACAUCUGCAUUUAAGUGUACCGUGAACUGUUGUGGAUAUUGUGCUAAUUCACGAAUAAUUCCAGAACCAUCCGUUGGAACAUGAAGAGAAACCAGAGACUGUUGCAGGCGGGCCACUUGGAGAGGAGGAUGGCACAGCUACGUCAUCUUCCCUCUCUCCCAGGAGCUUCUACCACCAGCAUCUUCCUCGCUCUCCGAGGCAGCGUCAGAUCUGAGGUCAGCAGUGGCACACUCUACAAACCUUUGCAGCUUUGGGCGUGGUUACCUUCUGCUUGGAGAACACGGGGCAAAAGAUGUAGGGGAUACCUUGGGGCCUGGAGGGUGUCAGUCACCUGCAGAUGUUCAGCAUUGGGGGUUACACUGAGCCCGUGCCAUGUGACAGAGGGCCUUCUAAAGUGAUGGGCCCAGGACCCCGCCCACCCAGGGUGAUGGCCAGUACUGCACUUCUUGCUAAAUAACCAUAUAAAUAUUACUGUAGUGGAUUGAAUAGUGGUCCCCGAACAGAUAUACCCACAUCCUAGUCCCUAGAACCCGUGAAUGUGACCUUAUUUUUGCAGAUGUGUUAAAUUAGGGGUCUCGAGAUAAGAUCAUUCUGGAUUAUCUAGGUAGGCCCUAAAUACAAUAAUGUGUCCUUCUAAGAGACAAAUAGAAGAGAGACAGAGGGAGAAGGGGAGAAGGCUGCAUGAACUUGGAGGCAGAGACUGGAGCGAUGCAUGCAGCCCCAAGCCAAGGAAUGCCCACAGCCGCUGGAAGCUGCUAGAGGUGGGGAAGGAUACUCCCCAGAGCCCUCAGGGGAGCACCGAGCUGCCAACACCUUGCUUUCAGACUCCUGGUCCCUAGAGCUGCAAGAGAAUAAAUUUCUGUUGUGUUAAGUUACCAAAUUUGCGGUAAUUCGUCAUGGCAGCCCUAGGAGAUGAGGGCUAAGUACAAUUUCCCACAAUGUCCAGCAUUUGUCAGGGCUGAUUGUGUACCAGGCACUCUGCUGAGCCCUCUCUACAAGCAUCAUCUCACUUAAGCCUCACAAGGCACUGUUCUCACCCUCACUUUACAGAGGAGCGGAGAGAGGUUCUAAAAGGCAGGAAGCUGGCCCGAGGCCACGUGGCCAGGAAGCUGGGAUCUGAACCCAGGUCCGUCUGCUGCAAAGAUCUUAGAGCACCCGGAAGCCUCCUCGCCUGGUGACACAGCCGGCUGUAAGAUGGAUUUACCCUGUGCUUGGUGGCUUCUAGCUGAAUGUCACCUCCUCUUUGUCCCCCUACUUAAAAGAGGCCCACAUCUUUUAGCACUCUCUGCUCUAACCCUCGGCAAUUUACCACCACCUCAGAAGUGAGAUAUAAAUUACAACAGACCAUUCUUCUAACUCAACCGAUCAUGGGAACACUGUUUGCUGUUACAAAGAAACAUUCUAGGCAUACACAAUCACGCCUAGUUCUUUGCAUCUAUUUAUCCUCGGGGUCAUUCGGGUUUAUUCGCACACAUUGCCAAGAUGAAUCAGAAAUCUGGAGAAACCAUUUGUUCUUGGAGAAGGACAGCAGUCAGGAGGGUUUUUUGUUAGUUUCUUUUUGUUGAUUUUGAAUUUGUAUGAAGACUAUGUCCCGGUCCCAGGAGAAAACAGACAGAAAAGUUUGUUUUCUUAAGACUUAAAAUAUAUUCUCUGAGCUCACUAAGCCAUCAGAACAUGCCGCUGGGCUCUGACGAUGGCGUGAUUUAGGGAGUAAGCAUUUCUUUCCGCUCUAUGUUUGCCCUGUCUUUUGGGGACUAGAAGAGAUUGUUGUCCAUCUGCUGACAAGCCCCAAAACUGUGUGUGUGUGUGUGUGUGAGUGUGUGAGUGUGAGUGUGUGUGUGGUGUGGCUGGGGGAAGGGGGUCUGGAUGAGGUGGUUACUUUUAUGUUGUUACCCUUCAUUUAUUUUCUUUCAAACAAAAGCUACCCCAUUUCACAGGUGGAAACACUGAGUCCUGGUGGAUGGAAACGAUGUUCUCCAAGGUAACUCAACCAGACAGACUUAACUACAAAUGCCAUGCUGUCCUCUCAAGAAACCAUUCCAUUUAGUGAAAACGAGACCGGUUAUGCAAUGAGUUUGAGGCUAAUUUUAAAGCAAGUCAUGUGUCCUUCCCGUUGCUCUGACCCAAAUACGAGACAGGGACUCAAAGUUGCACACAAAGAAUACCCAAAACAAUCAGGACACUCGACAUGAGCCAUCUGGUUGAUGACGGGAAUGCAAGCGUCAUUUUUCAGCCACCGCAAGGCUCCGGCACUGGGGACUCGUUCAGCGUUCCAGUUAGGACACCGCCCGGAGACUGUGCCAGGGACCGGCCCCAGGUCUGCAGCGCGCCGUCACUGGGCCCGGGCCCUAGGGCUUCCCUCUUCUCUCACGUCUCUCAACCAAAACCCGCUGGGAAAGAAGACGAGAAAUUCAUCCGCAUCAAGGAGAACGGACAAAUUUAUCUUCCUGGGAGCGUCCCGGAAAAAUAAUGGGUCUCUGGGCAGUUUCAGAUACCAGAGAGAGAGCCAGGAAGAAGAUAUGUCAGAUCUAUGCAUGGAACCACGGAACUUUCUGUCUGGCUAGCAGGGGAGGCUAACAAACAGAACUUCAUGUGGAUGUUUUGAAACAAGAAAGCAGGGUAAGGAGAUAAGGGAGCGAUGGAGCCCGAAGGCAGCUGAGGGGCCCGCAGUGUCUGGCUGAGCUGGUGAGGAAGGGCAUCCUUUGUAGGGUUGCCAGGUCUAGCAAAGAAGAACACGGGGCACCUAGUCGCAUUUGAGUUUCAGAUAAACAGUGAAUACUCUCUCAGGAUAAGUGUGCCCCGUGCAAUAUUUGGGACAUACAUGUAACUAAAAAUUGCCAUUUGUCUGAAAUUCAAAUGUAACUGGGUGUCCUGCAUUUUAUCUUGCACCUCUACUGCCCUGGGGCCCCCAGGAACGAGGUGGGGAGAGAAACAGUCAGCCCAAAGAUUGCCAGGCAGAAAUGGGCUUGGCUCUUGUUCCAGUGUGGCUGGAAUAGAGGGAGGCAGGGAGACGAUGGUAGAGAUGACCCCACAGAGGCAGGCCCGCUAGGAAGAGUUUGCGUUUUAUCCCGAUCAGUAGAAUUUUAGGGAACACCCUCACACUGCAAUUCUUCAUUUCCAUGAAUAUUCCAGUUUAGUAUUGUGUUUCCCGAAGCAGGUGCCACUGACCUUGCUUUAAGGCCAGACUUUAGAAUGGGAGACUAGGUGUCCCUGCCCUGGGUGUCUCACCUAAAUUUACCUGACCUCCCCUCUCUCUUUUCACCCCAUUCACUAUUGUCUGCAGUUUUCCUAGUGCUAGACAGUCAUCGUACCAUAAGAAAUGAACUUAAAAUGCUACUGGGAGAAGAGAUUUAGGGACUCAAAUUCUCACUAGUGUGUAAAUGACUAUUAGAAAGUGUUUUGAAAGUGAGGAAGGGAAGAGCGUAUAGCACAGGUCAAGGGAAGGUGGGAAAAGAAUAAAAAAGGGAAAUUUGAGGGCGCUAAUGCCAAGCUUGACCAAUUUGCCUUGCUGUGACCCUGAAGCUGAGCGUUGGCUGAGCAGAACUGCAAACCAGUUCUCCCCACUCUCGGUGUGGAGAUGACCAAGAGUCUGUCGUGGAAGAGAGAUUCAGAGCCAGGCCGGCUGCGAACCGAUACUGCCAGAUGGCAGAGCAGUCAAAAUAUUUAGCUGUGAAGCCCACACUGUGUUCGGGAAGAGGCUGAACUCACCUUCCUGCCGCAGACCCUGGUGGGCUCCCGUCUGUGGGUGCUGCCUGCCUCCUCAGCCGGCCGCUUCGGUGACUCACUGAGUGGCUCACUGAGUGACUCACUGAGUGACUCAGGCUGGGCUCUGGUGGUUCAUCCCUGGCAGGGAUUUAGCCAGCUGAACCAGCUUCCUCUCCCGCCUUCUAGUAAAAGAUAUCCUGUGUCGAAAACAGAGCCUUGACUGUACUUCUGUGAGAACGGCCCUACCUUGCUUCCGGGGAAUGUGGGGUUUUCUGGACCCAAUAACACACAGAAAAGCAAUAUUGCUCUCCAUGUUAUAGAGGGGAAACAUUGUGAGAAGACGGGCUUGCCCAGGUUCCGAGUGCUGGCGGGUGCACUUGAACGCCCGAGUCUUUUCUAUCACACUGAGGGUGGUGAGUCCAUUUGAAGAUUCCUUAAUGACGUGUGCAAGAUUGCAUAACUACUUGCUGCCCUCUGAAACUGAAACGUUCUUUUUCUAUAAAAUCAUGGUUUAGAAACCAAGAGCAGAAUCUACAAGGGAGAAGUUGUUUCCCCCCAUGUUUUGAAAAACAUUCAUUUCAGAUAAUGAAUCCCUGGGUGAUGGACUGGUUGAUUCUUUCAAAAGAAUUUAAUGACCCCUCCAUUAUACAAAUAAGAAGCGUUUAUUGCAGAAACUUUGGAAAAGUUAGAAAAAAACAAAGGGAAAAAUAAAAAUCACCCGUCAUUCUCCUAGUUAGAUAUAAUUGUUGUUAUUUUGAUGUGUGGCCAGCCCUGGUGGUCUGGGUUAAGAUGUGGCGCUCUCACUGCACGGCCCAGGUUUGUCUCCCAUCAGGGACCACACCACCCAUCAGUCGUUGUCACACUGCGGCAGCUGUGUGUUGCUGAAAGCUCUGCCACCGGGAUUUCAAAUACCAGCAGGGUCACCCAUGGUGGACAGGCUUCAGUAGAGCUUCCAGACUCCGACAGACUAGGAAGAAGGAGCUGGCCAGGCACUUCCAAAAAUUUUGACCAUGAAAACCCUGUGAAUAGCAGCAGAGCAUUGUCUGAUGCAGUGCCGGAAGGUGAGAGGAUGGCGCAGAAACACCCGGCAGGGUUCCGCUCUGCUGUACGCAGGGCCGCUAGGAGUCGGAAUCCAUUCCACGGCACAAACGACAAAAAUUUUAAUAUGUAUCCUUCCUUUUUUCAUACACAUGUGACCAUAUUUUAACAAAUUGGAAAAAAUGUGCUAUAAACUGAUGAAUGAUACUUCCAUGAGCGUUUUCUCACAUCAGUUUCUUUCCAAGCGUCUUUGAUCCAUAGCACACACUCUAUCCUACGGAUGGUGUACUUCAUUUACUCCACCUAUUGAGACUUUUAGCCUGUUACCAUUUUUUUUAUUAUAAACACCACCACAACAGGCUUGCUUGGUCUUAUAAAUAUUUAGUGAUGUUUCCACCCGGCCAUUUGUAUGGGCUUUGGUUUGAGAAAAACUGAAAAUGGAAGAACAGAGAAGGUUAAUAGACAUUAGUUUGAUUUUUGUCUGGCGGAGAAGGGAGAGAAGGAAGGGCAGCCAUCUCAAGUGUCCCCUCUGUAAAGGUCGUUUCCGUCCCCCGGGCUCUUAAUUCUGUUUGUCUGACUUGCCUCCUGUGCGCUUUACCAUCUCCGUCUCCCCACAGCUCCUCACCUUCUCGCCACCCUGUCACAAUCUCUGUUUGCCCUCAUCACACUCUGGGGGCUCUCCUCAGGGCCUCCCUGGUCUUGCCCGCUGUUGAUGAAGGUUUUCUGUGUCUCGACUCAGUGCCUGAGAAGUUAUUUCUAAGAGCAGCAAGUGAAGGAUCCCGGCACAGUGUAUGAAGUCAUGCCCAUAAAGCUCUUCGGCAAAUCACUGCAUUGUUCCACCCGUUGGGUACAGCCCGCAAUGCGGCUGCAACUGACCGGGCCCAAAGACAAGCAACAGUGGUGUGACCUCUGGACUUGUCUAAUUUCUCCACUGGACUAAGCAACUGCCCCUCCAUUCCCUUCCCAUCAGGCACUAUCAGUGUGUCAGCUCUAAUAACAACUAGAAAAAUGGGGACAAUCGUUAUUCCCAAGCUACAAUUUGAGAAACAUCUAAGAGAGUCAUAAAAUCGAAUAAGGCUCAGCAGAGUGCCUUUAGGAAAAAAAAAAAACCAUCUCAUUUGUUGCAGGUUCUUAAAAUAGUUCCCAAUGCUGUCCUCCACCUUCACAAUUAUUUUUGUCUUCAGUUCUAAAUCUGAAUGGCACAGAGCAGCAGAAUUUAUACAUUUAAGUUCAUAAGAGAACAGACAGCUCAUUAAUUCUUAACGUUGGUGGGAUUUGACUGUUUGCCAUCGUAUGCUCCAUUCCGAAAUAUGUCUGGGUCUGCUUUUCUGAGAUGAUUAAAGUGUCUUAUUGAUAACCUUGCGGCUGUUAAGAACACGGUGCCCUUCACGUAUGAGACAAGGUUACACGCCCCUCCCACCCAAGGGAGGGUGUGGGCAACAUCAACACGAAUCAUCUCACGUUUAUCCAUUCACAACUUCAUUUAGUCAAAUAUUUGAGAUUUUCCCAUGUGCCAAGCAAGAGAAAAAGCCCUUGUCUUCCAAGGGGGAGACAAAUAAGCAAAUUUGUAACAUAAUGAAAAUGUUACAAAAAAAAUAAAGCCAAGUAAGAGAAUGGAGUGUGUGGGGGGAUGGGGGUGGUACUUUAGAUCUGGUAGUUAGGGAAGGCCUCUUUGGGGAGGUGGCAUUUAAGUGCAGGAACGAGGCAUGGAAAUAACUAUCAGGAGGAGCAAGGCCAAAGCCCUCGAGAUGGGAAAGGCUCCACGAGAGAAGGGGAGCAGCGAAGAGGUGAGGGUAGCUGAACGCAGCGAGGCAGGGAGAGGGAGAGCUGAGGGGGCCGGGAGCCAGCUCAACGAGAGCCUGUCAGCCACGGACCUUGGUCUGCUCCACCAUGCUCUCUCCCAAGUGCCAAUUCACUGCAGACUCUCACGGUCCCUGAAUCCAGCGGUGACCACCUUGGGUCCCGGCAAGCUGGAAGCCCUUAGGGAUUCCUGGGAAAGCUCUGGGUCCUGUAAAGUGGUCACUGCGGCUGCCAGGCCCACCCUUUUGGUGGUUUUACAAUUCAGAUGAGCUGCUCCUACAGCCUAGGUCUGCUGCUAUACCACCACCUCACUUAACCAUCGACUGCUGUGUGGGGAUCACAGUUCCUGAGUCCUCCUGUAGACCAUGUGAUCUGUAUGUAUUUCCCCCCAUCCUAGAGAAGGAGGCUGAGUUUCAGGAGGUUAGGGACAAGGUCACAUUGUGCCUUAGUCAGUUCAGGUUGCUAUAACAAAGUACCACAGACCAGGUGGCUUAUAAAAUCUGUUUCUUGGUCGCUCUGGAGGCUGGAAGUCUGAGAUCACGGUGCCAGCACAGGUGUCGGUGGGACCCGCUUCGGGUUGCAGACUGCCAGCUUCUCACUGAAUCCUCAUAUGGAGGAGAACAGAAAGAAGUGGCAAGCUCUCUUGUGACUCUUCUAAGGGCACUAAUCCCACUCGUGAGGGUUCCACCCUCACGACCUCAUCUAAUCCUAAUUACCUCCCAAAGCCCGUCUCCUAAUACCAUCACGUUGAGGGGUAGGGUUUCAACACAGGAAUUUGGGGGGACACAAACAUUCAGUCCAUGACACUUGGUUAUUGAGUGAGGGUGGGAUUUAAAUGCAGAUCUAAUUGACUGGAAAGUCUGCUUUUCUUACAUCACGUUGCCUAAUCCUUCCUGAGCACUUCUGUUCAUUGAUCAAAAUAUUUAGUGAACAUCUGCCGUGUGUUUGGUGCUGUGCUGAGCAUCCCCGAGGGACGGAGACACAAAUAAGAGACAGUUCCUGCCCUCAAGCAUCUAGAAUCAAGUGAGCCGUCUAGUCUAUAAUACAUCCCCAGCAUGGAGUGGGAUUAUAACACAGCUCCACCACCACACACACACACACACUCACACUCACACACACACACCCCGUUUUGGACUUUCUCACACAGACAUUUGUCUUAUUCUUCUCAUUAAAGAAACUUGCCAGCUGCCAGGCAGGAUGGGCCACUGCCAAGCGUGAAAAGCAUGCGUUGACCCAUCUGGCCUUGGUUGACAUUGGUACUAUUGUUCACAGUUGGAUUUCACUUAAAUUUGGAUCUUAAUUGUCACUUUAAAAAAUCUUCAAAAAGAUCACCCUAUGUUGCAGGGCUAAAAUGGUAAGACGUCACUGUAGAAGCCUGGCCGUCACACGUCGGCGAUGCAGCCGAAGGGCAGCAGGAACUGCCACGUCUCUGAGCUCUCCCAGCAGUGUCAGAGCCAAGCCCAGGACUCACUCAGGCAUUUGAAGGACGAGCAUUCAGGUGGAGAACACACAGCUCUAUCAGAAGCUUCCAGACGACUUUCUAGAGAAGGUGUGAUACUUCCAGUGGUAUCUUAUUCAGCUCGGGAAUAUAUGAACUACAAGUUUAACCACAUCGGUGAAAUGUCUCAAAAUGAUCUCCAUCACAACAGUGCCUAAGAGAUUAUUCUCAGCGUCAGUACCCUGGUCGUUUCCUUUGCUAUAGUUCCCAUAAUUUGAAAUUACUUUAUUUGCUUGUCUUUGUUUCGCGAUGAGGUUAUCUUUUCAUUGUUGUUUCUCCAGCACAUGGCAAAAUGCCUCAAGCAGAGUCGGGUUGCGGGAAGCAGAAGCUUCUGAGAUGCUGUAUACCCACCGUGGCCAGGACGAUUUACAACUCUUUCUUUAGUGUCUGGGAGAAGCUUGGUCUCAAAAGUUUUAUUGUGACGCUGAAAAAAAUAAGUGCUAUGUUGUUGUCUAAAUAAAUAUACGCUACUGUGAGUUUUUUAGAACACAGAGUUAUGAAGACGUGAUUUUUUUUUUCUGAAAAAAAUUUUAUUAGCUUUACAGAUACUAUUUGGUGUUAAUUUUUAUGACUUGGCAGUUUCUCUUACUCAGUGGCAUCACAGAAUGAAGGAAACAGUAUAACAAGAGUAAAAGACCUUUAAAUAUUUUAAAGCUUUAAAUCAGAGAUUGUAAUAUUUGGGAAUCUCUUCAAACGACUCUCCCAACAUCUCUAACCCAUUAACAAAAAACUCUCAUUAGAUAAUGUGUACUUUCCAAAUAAUUUGAAAUCACCUUGAUAGGGCUUGUAGGCAAAUCAUCACUGUGGCUGGAAAGGAAGAUGCGAGCAAAUGUGCUGUAAUUGUACUGAAAGGAGCUGGUCCGAGGGGGUCCUCUCUGGGCGGCUCCCUGCAUCGUGAGCUCUGUGGGUGGCAUCGGCUUUGGAAUAGGAGAGCCUUUUUGAACGGUGAUGUCACGCUUACCUUGGGCAGGUGAUGUGUCCUCUCUGGGUUUCAGCUUCCUCGUCUGUGAAGUGGGGAAGAGAACUGCCAAUCCCCAGACACGAGGAGGAACCCGCAGGUCUCACACUCAGUGGCGCCCGCCGUACACGGCCCUUGUCUUGGUCCACUCGGGCUGCUGGAACAGAACACCGUCCACUGGGUGGCUUCUGAACAACACACAUUAAUUGCUUACAGUUCUGGAGGCUGGCAAGCCCAAGAUCAAGGCCUGGCAGAUUGAGUGUCUGGUGAGAGCCCCCUUCCUCACAGAGGGUCAUCUUCUCACUCUGACCUCACGUGGCAGAAGGGAGCAGCUAGCUCUCUGGGGUCUCCUUUAUAAGGGCACAAAUCCCAAACACGAGGGCUCUGCUCUCAUGACCUAAUCACCUCCCAAGGGCCCCACCU
Molecule: long non-coding RNA, 9946 nt
Filed under: Equus caballus (horse)
Lineage: Eukaryota; Metazoa; Chordata; Mammalia; Perissodactyla; Equidae
Description: lncRNA (ENSECAG00000039105.2)
Source: RNAcentral